AAAUAUUGGGCAAUGGGCGCAAGCCUGACCCAGCAACGCCGCGUGGGCGAAGAAGGUCUUCGGAUCGUAAAGCCCUUUUGUGAGGGACGAGACAGGACGGUACCUCACGAAUAAGCCUCGGCUAACUACGUCCCAGCAGCCGCGGUAACACGUAGGAGGCAAGCGUUAUCCGGAUUUACUGGGCGUAAAGGGCGUCUAGGUGGUGAGGAAAGUUGGCUGUGAAAGCUCCUGGCUCAACUGGGAGAGGUCAGUCAAAACUACCUGACUUGAGGGUCGGAGAGGGGUGUGGAAUUCCCGGUGUAGCGGUGGAAUGCUUAGAGAUCGGGAGGAACACCAGUGGCGCAGGCGACACCCUGGCCGACAUCUGACACUGAAGCGCGAAAGCGUGGGGAGCGAACAGG
Molecule: ribosomal RNA, 401 nt
Filed under: uncultured bacterium
Lineage: Bacteria
Description: bacterial SSU rRNA
Rfam family: Bacterial small subunit ribosomal RNA
Source: RNAcentral